RNAcentral lists this ribosomal RNA (253 nucleotides) under uncultured bacterium. Its description in RNAcentral is "partial 16S ribosomal RNA". It matches the Rfam family "Bacterial small subunit ribosomal RNA", at positions 524 to 776 of the family's 1533-position model. The record is from RNAcentral.
UACGUAGGUGGCAAGCGUUAUCCGGAUUUAUUGGGCGUAAAGCGAGCGCAGGCGGUCGCUUAGGUCUGAUGUGAAAGUCUUCGGCUUAACCGAAGAAGUGCAUCGGAAACCGGGCGACUUGAGUGCAGAAGAGGACAGUGGAACUCCAUGUGUAGCGGUGGAAUGCGUAGAUAUAUGGAAGAACACCAGUGGCGAAGGCGGCUGUCUGGUCUGCAACUGACGCUGAGGCUCGAAAGCAUGGGUAGCGAACAGG